CAGGUACUCCCUCCGUCCUGAAUUAUUUGUCGCGGAAAUGGAUGUAUCUAGACGUAUUUUUAGUUCUAGAUACAUCCAUUUUCACCAGUCUCCGCGAGAAGUAAUUCGGGGCAGAGGGAGUAUGAA
Triticum aestivum (bread wheat) is the source of this 126-nucleotide non-coding RNA. The record is from Rfam. NCBI's taxonomy places the organism in Eukaryota, Viridiplantae, Streptophyta, Magnoliopsida, Poales, Poaceae.